AGUGAACGCUGGCGGCGUGCCUAAUACAUGCAAGUCGAACGGAGUGGCGCACGGGUGAGUAAUGUAUGGCUAAUCUGCUCUAACAUAGAGGCCAACAGUUAGAAAAGACAGCUAAUACUCUAUAGUUUAGGAUGAGGCUAUAUUGUAUCAGCUAGUUGGUGAGGUAAGUGCUCACCAAGGCUAUGACGCAGAACUGGUCUGAGAGGAUGAUCAGUCACACCGGAACUGAGACACGGGCCAGACUCCUACGUGAGGCAGCAGUAGGGAAUAGUGUUCAAUGGGGGAAACCCUGAAGCAGAAACGCCGCGUGGAGGAUGACACUUUUCGGAGCGUAAACUGCUUUUGUUAGGGAAGCGGUACCUAACGAAUAAGCACCGGCUAACUCCGUGCCAGCAGCCGCGGUAAUAC
Molecule: ribosomal RNA, 408 nt
Filed under: uncultured bacterium
Lineage: Bacteria
Description: partial 16S ribosomal RNA
Rfam family: Bacterial small subunit ribosomal RNA
Source: RNAcentral